RNAcentral lists this ribosomal RNA (305 nucleotides) under uncultured bacterium. RNAcentral's name for it is "partial 16S ribosomal RNA". It matches the Rfam family "Bacterial small subunit ribosomal RNA", at positions 505 to 807 of the family's 1533-position model. The record is from RNAcentral.
ACAGCAGCAGCCGCGGUAAUACAGAGGGUGCGAGCGUUAAUCGGAUUUACUGGGCGUAAAGCGUGCGUAGGCGGCUUUUUAAGUCGGAUGUGAAAUCCCUGAGCUUAACUUAGGAAUUGCAUUUGAUACUGGGAAGCUAGAGUAUGGGAGAGGAUGGUAGAAUUCCAGGUGUAGCGGUGAAAUGCGUAGAGAUCUGGAGGAAUACCGAUGGCGAAGGCAGCCAUCUGGCCUAAUACUGACGCUGAGGUACGAAAGCAUGGGGAGCAAACAGGAUUAGAUACCCCGGUAGUCCCUGUCUCUUAUAC